GGGGCUGUGGGUUAACUUGGCUAUACUUCCUGGUUUGGGACCAGGCGAUCCCGGUUCAAACGAAAAGGGACAAAACGCCCUCUCCUGAACGUCCGGGCAGCCCCA
RNAcentral lists this transfer RNA (105 nucleotides) under Candidatus Woesearchaeota archaeon. RNAcentral's name for it is "tRNA-Pro". Lineage: Archaea; Nanobdellati; Candidatus Woesearchaeota. The record is from RNAcentral.